This 328-nucleotide long non-coding RNA is filed under the name Homo sapiens (human). Its description in RNAcentral is "HSALNT0315145". Lineage: Eukaryota; Metazoa; Chordata; Mammalia; Primates; Hominidae. The record is from RNAcentral.
UAAAUGGAACUUUUGGAUGAAGAAUCCCUGGUUUGUUCAGAUCUGUUAAAGUAAUAGGGGAAAGCACAAAAGGAUCAAGAAAAGGAAGGCCCCAAUCUUUGUUCGAUGACUGAUAAAACAGCAUUACUUGGGUGAAAAUUGGCCUGACCUUCACCUACAGGAUGCUUCCGCUGCCUCAGUGAUUCUUGCUUCGCUCUGAUUAGACUCUCCUCUAAAGCUCUGCUGGGAGAGGACGGCCGGAGAAAGACACAAGUCUCCCUCAGCUGGCUGGAACAGAAACAUCACUGAGUUACACCAGGUCCUAUUUGCCAUCCAUUUCUUCUUUUUG